UGGGGAAUUUUGGACAAUGGGCGAAAGCCUGAUCCAGCAAUGCCGCGUGGGUGAAGAAGGCCUUCGGGUUGUAAAGCACUUUUGUCCGGAAAGAAAUGGCUCUGGUUAAUACCUGGGGUCGAUGACGGUACCGGAAGAAUAAGGACCGGCUAACUACGUGCCAGCAGCCGCGGUAAUACGUAGGGUCCAAGCGUUAAUCGGAAUUACUGGGCGUAAAGCGUGCGCAGGCGGUUGUGCAAGACCGAUGUGAAAUCCCCGAGCUUAACUUGGGAAUUGCAUUGGUGACUGCACGGCUAGAGUGUGGCAGAGGGGGGUAGAAUUCCACGUGUAGCAGUGAAAUGCGUAGAGAUGUGGAGGAAUACCGAUGGCGAAGGCAGCCCCCUGGGAUAACACUGACGCUCAUGCACGAAAGCGUGGGGAGCAAACAGG
RNAcentral lists this ribosomal RNA (429 nucleotides) under Bacillota bacterium. RNAcentral's name for it is "Firmicutes bacterium partial 16S ribosomal RNA". It matches the Rfam family "Bacterial small subunit ribosomal RNA", at positions 355 to 776 of the family's 1533-position model. Lineage: Bacteria; Bacillati; Bacillota. The record is from RNAcentral.